CCUACGGGGGGCUGCAGUGGGGAAUAUUGGACAAUGGGCGAAAGCCUGAUCCAGCCAUGCCGCGUGUGUGAAGAAGGCCUUCGGGUUGUAAAGCACUUUCAGUGGGGAAGAAAGCCUUGGGGCUAAUACCCUCGAGGAAGGACAUCACCCACAGAAGAAGCACCGGCUAACUCCGUGCCAGCAGCCGCGGUAAUACGGAGGGUGCGAGCGUUAAUCGGAAUUACUGGGCGUAAAGCGCGCGUAGGCGGUCUGAUAAGCCGGUUGUGAAAGCCCCGGGCUCAACCUGGGAACGGCAUCCGGAACUGUCAGGCUAGAGUGCAGGAGAGGUAGGUAGAAUUCCCGGUGUAGCGGUGAAAUGCGUAGAGAUCGGGAGGAAUACCAGUGGCGAAGGCAGCCUUCUGGACUGACACUGACGCUGAGGUGCGAAAGCGUGGGUAGCAAACAGGAUUAGAUACCCCAGUAGUC
Molecule: ribosomal RNA, 465 nt
Filed under: Vreelandella stevensii
Lineage: Bacteria; Pseudomonadati; Pseudomonadota; Gammaproteobacteria; Oceanospirillales; Halomonadaceae
Description: partial 16S ribosomal RNA
Rfam family: Bacterial small subunit ribosomal RNA
Source: RNAcentral